RNAcentral lists this ribosomal RNA (830 nucleotides) under uncultured bacterium. RNAcentral's name for it is "bacterial SSU rRNA". It matches the Rfam family "Bacterial small subunit ribosomal RNA", at positions 54 to 916 of the family's 1533-position model. The record is from RNAcentral.
CAUGCAAGUCGAACGCCCUUCGCAAGAAGGGAGUGGCGGACGGGUGAGUAACACGUGGGUAACCUACCCCGCGGUGAGGAAUACCGGCGAGAAAUCGUCGACAAUACCACAUACGCUUUCGCAAGAAAGCAAAGUCCCGCAAGGGACGCCGGGGGAUGGGCCUGCGGCCGAUUAGCUAGUUGGUGCGGUAAUGGCCCACCAAGGCGACGAUCGGUAGCUGGUCUGAGAGGAUGAUCAGCCACACUGGGAUUGAGAACGGCCCAGACUCCUACGGGAGGCAGCAGUGAGGAAUUUUCGGCAAUGGGCGCAAGCCUGACCGAGCAACGCCGCGUGCAGGAUGAAGGUCUUCGGAUCGUAAACUGCUUUUCUCUGGGAAGAGUACGGACGGUACCAGAGGAAUAAGCCCCGGCUAACUACGCGCCAGCAGCCGCGGUAAUACGUAGGGGGCAAGCGUUGUCCGGAGUUACUGGGCGUAAAGCGCCCGCAGGCGGUCCCUUAAGUUUGAGGUGACAGCUCCCGGCUUAACUGGGAGAGUGUCUUGAAGACUGGGGGACUUGAGGACCAGAGAGGGACACGGAAUUCCGGGUGGAGUGGUGAAAUGCGUAGAUAUCCGGAGGAACACCGAUGGCGAAGGCAGUGUCCUGGCUGGUUACUGACGCUCAUGGGCGAAAGCUAGGGGAGCGAACGGGAUUAGAUACCCCGGUAGUCCUAGCCGUAAACGAUGACCACUAGGUGUGCGGGGGAUAGACCCCCUGUGUGCCGCAGCUAACGCAAUAAGUGGUCCGCCUGGGGAGUACGGUCGCAAGAUUAAAACUCAAAGGAAUUGACGG